Molecule: ribosomal RNA, 113 nt
Filed under: Bacteroidales bacterium
Lineage: Bacteria; Pseudomonadati; Bacteroidota; Bacteroidia; Bacteroidales
Also listed under: 2 other names
Source: RNAcentral
UACGGUGGUUAUAGCAGCGAGGAUCCACCUCUUCCCAUUCCGAACAGAGAAGUUAAGCUCGCUCGCGCCGAUGGUACUGCACUGCGUUGUGGGAGAGUAGGUCGCCGCCACUU